UGGGGAAUCUUGGACAAUGGGCGAAAGCCUGAUCCAGCCAUGCCGCGUGAGUGAUGAAGGCCCUAGGGUCGUAAAGCUCUUUCGCCAGGGAUGAUAAUGACAGUACCUGGUAAAGAAACCCCGGCUAACUCCGUGCCAGCAGCCGCGGUAAUACGGAGGGGGUUAGCGUUGUUCGGAAUUACUGGGCGUAAAGCGCGCGUAGGCGGCUGUUUAAGUCGAGGGUGAAAGCCCGGGGCUCAACCCCGGAACGGCCUUCGAGACUGGGCAGCUCGAGACCGGAAGAGGAGGGUGGAAUACCCAGUGUAGAGGUGAAAUUCGUAGAUAUUGGGUGGAACACCAGUGGCGAAAGCGGCUCUCUGGUCCGGAUCUGACGCUGAGGCGCGAAAGCGUGGGGAGCAAACAGGAUUAGAUACCCCCGUAGUCC
Molecule: ribosomal RNA, 424 nt
Filed under: uncultured prokaryote
Description: bacterial SSU rRNA
Rfam family: Bacterial small subunit ribosomal RNA
Source: RNAcentral